GGUUAAGCGAAUAAGCGUACACGGUGGAUGCCUAGGCAAUCAGAGGCGAUGAAGGACGUGCUAAUCUGCGAAAAGCGUCGGUAAGGUGAUAUGAACCGUUAUACCCGACGAUAUCCGAAUGGGGAAACCCAGUAUCCAAUGGAUACUAUCAUUAACUGAAUCCAUAGGUUAAUGAGGCGAACCGGGAGAACUGAAACAUCUCAGUACCCCGAGGAAAAGAAAUCAACCGAGAUUCCCCUAGUAGCGGCGAGCGAACGGGGAGCAGCCCAGAGUCUUAAUCAAUAACAGUGUCAGGAGAACGGUCUGGAAAGUCCGGCAGUAAAGGGUGAUAGCCCCGUAUCUGAAGAUGCUGUUAUUGUGAACUCGACGAGUAGGGCGGGACACGUGUUAUCCUGUCUGAAUAUGGGGGGACCAUCCUCCAAGGCUAAAUACUCCUGAUUGACCGAUAGUGAACCAGUACCGUGAGGGAAAGGCGAAAAGAACCCCGGCGAGGGGAGUGAAAAAGAACCUGAAACCGUGUACGUACAAGCAGUAGGAGCCUCUUUAUGGGGUGACUGCGUACCUUUUGUAUAAUGGGUCAGCGACUUAUAUUCUGUAGCAAGGUUAACCGUAUAGGGGAGCCGUAGGGAAACCGAGUCUUAACUGGGCGAAUGAGUUGCAGGGUAUAGACCCGAAACCCGGUGAUCUAUCCAUGGGCAGGUUGAAGGUUGGGUAACACUAACUGGAGGACCGAACCGACUAAUGUUGAAAAAUUAGCGGAUGACUUGUGGAUGGGGGUGAAAGGCCAAUCAAACCGGGAGAUAGCUGGUUCUCCCCGAAAGCUAUUUAGGUAGCGCCUCGUGAACUCAUCUUCGGGGGUAGAGCACUGUUUCGACUAGGGGGUCAUCCCGACUUACCAACUCGAUGCAAACUGCGAAUACCGAAGAAUGUUAUCACGGGAGACACACGGCGGGUGCUAACGUCCGUCGUGAAGAGGGAAACAACCCAGACCGCCAGCUAAGGUCCCAAAGUCAUGGUUAAGUGGGAAACGAAGUGGGAAGGCUCAGACAGCCAGGAUGUUGGCUUAGAAGCAGCCAUCAUUUAAAGAAAGCGUAAUAGCUCACUGGUCGAGUCGGCCCGCGCGGAAGAUGUAACGGGGCUAAACCAUGCACCGAAGCUGCGGCAGCGACACAAAGUGUUGUUGGGUAGGGGAGCGUUCUGUAAGCCUGCGAAGGUGUACUGUGAGGUAUGCUGGAGGUAUCAGAAGUGCGAAUGCUGACAUAAGUAACGAUAAUGCGGGUGAAAAACCCGCACGCCGGAAGACCAAGGGUUCCUGUCCAACGUUAAUCGGGGCAGGGUGAGUCGACCCCUAAGGCGAGGCUGAAAAGCGUAGUCGAUGGGAAACGGGUUAAUAUUCCCGUACUGGUGGUAACUGCGAUGGGGGAACGGAGAAGGCUAGGUUGUCCGGGCGACGGUCGUCCCGGUUCAAGCAGGUAGGCAGAGUGAUUAGGCAAAUCCGGUCACUUAAUGCUGAGAUGUGAUGACGAACCACUAAGGUGGUGAAGCAAUUGAUGCCCCGCUUCCAGGAAAAGCCUCUAAGCUUCAGGUUACCAACAAUCGUACCCCAAACCGACACAGGUGGUCAGGUAGAGAAUACUCAGGCGCUUGAGAGAACUCGGGUGAAGGAACUAGGCAAAAUGGUGCCGUAACUUCGGGAGAAGGCACGCUGGCGGUAGGUAAAGUCCCUCGCGGACGGCGCUGAAGCCAGUCGAAGAUACCAGCUGGCUGCAACUGUUUAUUAAAAACACAGCACUGUGCAAACACGAAAGUGGACGUAUACGGUGUGACGCCUGCCCGGUGCUGGAAGGUUAAUUGAUGGGGUCAGCCGUAAGGCGAAGCUCCUGAUCGAAGCCCCAGUAAACGGCGGCCGUAACUAUAACGGUCCUAAGGUAGCGAAAUUCCUUGUCGGGUAAGUUCCGACCUGCACGAAUGGCGUAAUGAUGGCCAGGCUGUCUCCACCCGAGACUCAGUGAAAUUGAACUCGCUGUGAAGAUGCAGUGUACCCGCGGCAAGACGGAAAGACCCCGUGAACCUUUACUAUAGCUUGACACUGAACAUUGAGCCUUGAUGUGUAGGAUAGGUGGGAGGCUUUGAAGUGUGGACGCCAGUCUGCAUGGAGCCAACCUUGAAAUACCACCCUUUAACGUUUGAUGUUCUAACCUAGGCCCAUAAACUGGGUCGGGGACCGUGUCUGGUGGGUAGUUUGACUGGGGCGGUCUCCUCCUAAAGAGUAACGGAGGAGCACGAAGGUUGGCUAAGCAUGGUCGGACAUCAUGCGGUUAGUGCAAAGGCAUAAGCCAGCUUGACUGCGAGAGUGACGGCUCGAGCAGGUACGAAAGUAGGUCUUAGUGAUCCGGUGGUUCUGAAUGGAAGGGCCAUCGCUCAACGGAUAAAAGGUACUCCGGGGAUAACAGGCUGAUACCGCCCAAGAGUUCAUAUCGACGGCGGUGUUUGGCACCUCGAUGUCGGCUCAUCACAUCCUGGGGCUGAAGUAGGUCCCAAGGGUAUGGCUGUUCGCCAUUUAAAGUGGUACGCGAGCUGGGUUUAGAACGUCGUGAGACAGUUCGGUCCCUAUCUGCCGUGGGCGUUGGAAGAUUGAGAGGGGUUGCUCCUAGUACGAGAGGACCGGAGUGAACGCACCACUGGUGUUCGGGUUGUCAUGCCAAUGGCAUUGCCCGGUAGCUAAGUGCGGAAGAGAUAACCGCUGAAAGCAUCUAAGCGGGAAACUUGCCUCGAGAUGAGUCUUCCCUGUCGCUUUAAGCGACCUAAAGGAACGUUUAAGACUAAGACGUUGAUAGGCUGGGUGUGUAAGCGUAGCGAUACGUUGAGCUAACCAGUACUAAUGAACCGUGAGGCUUAACCUG
RNAcentral lists this ribosomal RNA (2903 nucleotides) under Proteus mirabilis. Its description in RNAcentral is "23S ribosomal RNA". It matches the Rfam family "Bacterial large subunit ribosomal RNA". Lineage: Bacteria; Pseudomonadati; Pseudomonadota; Gammaproteobacteria; Enterobacterales; Morganellaceae. The record is from RNAcentral.